AUUGAACGCUGGCGGCAGGCCUAACACAUGCAAGUCGAGCGGAUGAAGGGAGCUUGCUCCUGGAUUCAGCGGCGGACGGGUGAGUAAUGCCUAGGAAUCUGCCCGGUAGUGGGGGAUAACGUCCGGAAACGGGCGCUAAUACCGCAUACGUCCUGAGGGAGAAAGUGGGGGAUCUUCGGACCUCACGCUAUCAGAUGAGCCUAGGUCGGAUUAGCUAGUUGGUGGGGUAAAGGCCUACCAAGGCGACGAUCCGUAACUGGUCUGAGAGGAUGAUCAGUCACACUGGAACUGAGACACGGUCCAGACUCCUACGGGAGGCAGCAGUGGGGAAUAUUGGACAAUGGGCGAAAGCCUGAUCCAGCCAUGCCGCGUGUGUGAAGAAGGUCUUCGGAUUGUAAAGCACUUUAAGUUGGGAGGAAGGGCAGUAAGUUAAGACCUGGCUGUUUUGACGUUACCAACAGAAUAAGCACCGGCUAACUUCGU
RNAcentral lists this ribosomal RNA (483 nucleotides) under uncultured bacterium. RNAcentral describes it as "partial 16S ribosomal RNA". It matches the Rfam family "Bacterial small subunit ribosomal RNA", at positions 30 to 506 of the family's 1533-position model. The record is from RNAcentral.